Molecule: ribosomal RNA, 295 nt
Filed under: uncultured bacterium
Lineage: Bacteria
Description: partial 16S ribosomal RNA
Rfam family: Bacterial small subunit ribosomal RNA
Source: RNAcentral
UAGGGAAUCUUCCACAAUGGACGCAAGUCUGAUGGAGCAACGCCGCGUGAGUGAAGAAGGUUUUCGGACCGUAAAGCUCUGUUGUUGGUGAAGAAGGAUAGAGGUAGUAACUGGCCUUUAUUUGACGGUAAUCAACCAGAAAGUCACGGCUAACUACGUGCCAGCAGCCGCGGUAAUACGUAGGUGGCAAGCGUUGUCCGGAUUUAUUGGGCGUAAAGCGAGCGCAGGCGGAAGAAUAAGUCUGAUGUGAAAGCCCUCGGCUUAACCGAGGAAUUGCAUCGGAAACUGUUUUUCU